Long non-coding RNA from Columba livia (rock pigeon), 3148 nucleotides. RefSeq lists it as uncharacterized. Lineage: Eukaryota; Metazoa; Chordata; Aves; Columbiformes; Columbidae. The record is from RefSeq and is a predicted model, not a curated record. The transcript is spliced from 3 exons.
GUAAAUAACCCGGCUCACACAGCUCUACGGCUCAGGUUUGUGCUGGCGGCAGCUUCCCUGGGCUAGUCACCCUCCUGCAGCUCCCCGGGCGGCCAUGGCCCCGGGAACGCCCUGCUCGCUAGUGAGAGCAGCUGGGGCUGUGGGCUGCUAGAAAAGGCCCAGCCCACAGAGGUAAAGCCCAAGUUUAGGGUUGGCUUGGGAGGGAGGAAGUCUGUGGGGGAGGGACUGAUGUAAUUUGGGAGCUACAAGAUGGCUGGGCCCUGCAGCUGUGGGGGGACCUUGCUAUGAUCAAAAAUCUCCACAGAAACAGGAGCUGAGAAGUUUCUCCUGCCGUGGCAAAAGGCAUUACUUCAACCUCCAGAAACCUGAAGCUAUAAAAUGAAGAAACCUUACAGCCAAAGGACUUAAAUCUUAUGAGGUGUGGGGUUUUCUAUCUGGAUGUCCUGAAGAAAGGCUUGACCCUGGAAGGCUGCAGUGCAGGCAGAGUCUGCAGAGGAGACGGGCCCUUCUGCACCAUGAGUGCCCCUUGGGUCUGGAUCAGCAACCAAGUUCUGCCCUGAAAUGGCUUGAAAUGGAAGGAGCCGUGGCACUUCAGCAUCGCCGUGAGCCACAACGAGCUGGUGAAUGUGAUCAGAAGCUGUCGCCUUCAGGACCACAUAUCUGCCUUAUCAGAGGGAACAUAAGGACAUGCAGUCAGGCUGCUUCAUAGAAUUUACCAUCUCCAGUGUUACUCCACACUGUGUAAAGGACUUGGAUAAAGAGUUUGCCCAUCGGCUUUUAGCGAGAGCUGGUAUAAAUCUGCAUCAGCCCAGGAACAGGCCAAGGAUAAAGUUCUUAUUGUUCUACCCUCCUGGGUGCCUCAUGGCUUCAGUCGGGAAGUAAUUUGCUUUGGUUUAUAUGCUGUUAGCACGUUCCUUCCCAGAUGGAGGGCCUGAGUUAUUAUGGCUUCUUUGUCGGUGGCAGCAGAAGGAAUUAAAUCGCAAUGUUUUGCCCAGAUCUGGUGAUGGUGGGGAAGAGAGGAACAGAGAUUAACUGGACUUUGGAGACAGCUCCUCGGUGUGCUGGCACAGGCAGCUCUGUGUUCAGAGAGCGAAGGAACUGUAUGCGCUGAACAAGAGACUUGUCUGGAGACUUACCCUCAUUAUUCCUUUUCUUGGCAGUAUCUAGUGUUAUUUAGCAAAUGCAAGUUUAGUUCCAUUCGAAGCUGUGGGUCUGUCUCUUGAGCACAGAGACAGGUCAGGGUCUUUGGGGGGGUCUUGACUUCAUCCCUGCCCAAAGAUCACUUGAGAAGCUGGAGCUGCCCACCUGAGCACAUUGUCUCUCAUCCGUGUUGCCUUAGUCCUAACACUUUUCUUUUUUGACUUCUCACCUUUCUUAUAUCUUCAGCAAUAUCUCAAAAUUCAAUCAGCUGAACUAUUCGUCUAUAAAAAAGAAAAGCCAUUUUGAGAUGUUCAAAGCUACUUUGUCAACUUGAAAUGCUUUCAGUAUGUAUUCAUAGGUACUAAGUGCAAAUAUAUUAUGCGAUUCUCUUUUCUAAUUAUUUAUGGCCCUUCUGUGAUAUUGCAUGUCAGUUUAAAUUUGCACCACUGCUGAAGUUAUCUGGCAGUGAAUUAUAAUUCUGAUAUGCAGUUACAGUGGUGUAAACAAUAGUAUAAUAGAUGGGUAUGUUUCCUGAGACUCUAUAAAGAGCACAGGGCUUCUUCCUCCAAAGGUGUUUGAUAGUUCCCAUGAUACCUGUGCUUUUGUUGUCGGGUCUCGCUUAUUUUGCCUGGUCAAUCAUGCUCACUUCCUUAGUUUAGUGUUAAGCUUUCCCUAAAUACCUUAAACUAAACCAGCAGACCCUGUUAUCCCUGCAGGAAUUAUAGUCGUAUAAAUAGUAAUGGGGAUUUACACCUCAGUUCAGCUUCACUUUUCCUUGCGUCUUAAAACUUACUGUGCAUCUGCUGAAUAACAUGAACUUAUUCUAUAUGUGCUCUUAACCUAUGAUAAACUUCACCUCGGUCAUGCAGUAAUAAAAACGAAAUAUACCAGGCACUGUAACUGUUUCCAAAUGAAUCCCCAUUUAUUGUUUGUAAGGAGAUGACUUUGCUAUUUGAACAGACACAUUGAAUUUGAAAAUUGGAGUUGGGAGAGAGAGAUGGAAAGCAGCAUGUAAACCUGCUGUUGUGAUUAUACUACCCACAGUAAAAAUGGAUUAAGGACCUGUUCCUGAGUUGAUGGUAGUGAUUGUGAUUCAUAGCAACUUUCAAAUCUAUCUGAUGUCUAGUUUCAUUAUGUUUCAUUUUUAGUGAAACAUUUUGUUUAUAAUGACAUGCAUGCCAAAUAAAUAAAUCCUAAUCCAAGCUAGUGAUGAUAAAGGAAACAUGAAAGAAAAACAACAAAUUUGAUGGAAAUGCAGUAUCAUGAAUUUCACCUAUAUUUGAUCUGCACGUAUCUGUUACCUCUUGCACUUCUAUCUUUGGAAUGCUUCCUCUGCAUUUCAGAGCUCACGUGGUAGAAUGAUUCAUUUUGUCAUCAUCAGAGCAGGUAGCACUUGAGGCUGCUUAAGCAGCGCAGUGAUGACAGUCGCUUGGGUGGCACAACCGUUCUGAAGGUCAUUCUGACACCUCGAACACUUGGUUCUGUACCACGUGAAACUGAGGAAAUCCCCGCGGUCAUUCAGCAGCUUAUUUGGCCGUUUAAAUCACCCAAAUUACUCCUUCUGGCUAAAAGGUGCCUACAUUUCUAUUUCAUGUAGCAUGUUAGCACUGCUUAUGCAGCAAAGUUUACACCAUCCUCUUCAACGAGACUUAAAUUGGAUACACGCAUUCAACAUCCAUAGAAAUUCAACGGUAUCUGGACACCAGAUUCACUUGUGCACCUUUAAAUACUUUGGCCUGAAUUAGCAAUAAACUGUACAAUACUAUUUAAUCAACUAGUGGUUCUCCAUCUAGUCUUUCUUUUCCUAAUCUCUUUUUCUCUGUGUGAAACAAAUGGAAUUAAUAUCAAUAGCCUUCUUAAUCAGUUAAUCUAGCUAGCUUUUGUGCUAUGAAUAUAAGCCUGGCUUUCAAGCAGCUCCUUCUUUAUGUUUUGCUUAGGGUCCUAAUACUUGUGCUUAACAUCUCUGGAUUAACAAGUAAAACCAAGCCUAUUGUGAUACUCCUCUGGA